GCGGCGGACGGGUGAGUAACACGUGGGUAACCUGCCCAUAAGACUGGGAUAACUCCGGGAAACCGGGGCUAAUACCGGAUAACAUUUUGAACUGCAUGGUUCGAAAUUGAAAGGCGGCUUCGGCUGUCACUUAUGGAUGGACCCGCGUCGCAUUAGCUAGUUGGUGAGGUAACGGCUCACCAAGGCAACGAUGCGUAGCCGACCUGAGAGGGUGAUCGGCCACACUGGGACUGAGACACGGCCCAGACUCCUACGGGAGGCAGCAGUAGGGAAUCUUCCGCAAUGGACGAAAGUCUGACGGAGCAACGCCGCGUGAGUGAUGAAGGCUUUCGGGUCGUAAAACUCUGUUGUUAGGGAAGAACAAGUGCUAGUUGAAUAAGCUGGCACCUUGACGGUACCUAACCAGAAAGCCACGGCUAACUACGUGCCAGCAGCCGCGGUAAUACGUAGGUGGCAAGCGUUAUCCGGAAUUAUUGGGCGUAAAGCGCGCGCAGGUGGUUUCUUAAGUCUGAUGUGAAAGCCCACGGCUCAACCGUGAGGGUCAUUGAACUGGGAGACUUGAUGCAGAAGAGAAGUG
This 577-nucleotide ribosomal RNA is filed under the name Bacillus thuringiensis. RNAcentral's name for it is "bacterial SSU rRNA". It matches the Rfam family "Bacterial small subunit ribosomal RNA", at positions 95 to 659 of the family's 1533-position model. The record is from RNAcentral. Lineage: Bacteria; Bacillati; Bacillota; Bacilli; Caryophanales; Bacillaceae.